This 73-nucleotide transfer RNA is filed under the name Ursus americanus (American black bear). It matches the Rfam family "tRNA". Rfam says of the family: Transfer RNA (tRNA) molecules are approximately 80 nucleotides in length. RNAcentral also lists the same sequence under 2 other names. The record is from Rfam by way of RNAcentral. Lineage: Eukaryota; Metazoa; Chordata; Mammalia; Carnivora; Ursidae.
UCUUGGCUGGCUCAAUCGGUAGAGCAUGUGACUCUAGAUCUUGGGGUUGUGGGUUCAAGCCCCACGUUGGGUA